CAGGAAUAAAUGUGGCCAAGAGCUGACUGAGCAACAGACUGCAUGGUUUUAGUUGGAAAGAAGAACAAUCAGUUUGGGGCUUGGCUAAUUCCAGUAAGUCUUCUUUUUGAAUGAGGUAAUUCAAAUACAGAAGUCAUCUUCAUGAAAAGAGAAAGCUGUCUCCAAUUCCUGCUCAGGAGGAGCUACCGUGCUGGCCUGCUGAGAGGGAAUGAGCUGAUCAAAGCCAGCGAGUCCACGGAGAACUGCCGGAUUAGUGCUGCUUCGGGGAGCGCACAGCCGGGAUUCAUUACCCAGCCUGUUUCGGGAACAGGUGAAUACCGUAAUUAAUCUUGGCUUCAGUUUGGAGGGGAACAGGGAACCUACCUGCCCUGUCCACUAAGUUUAUAUGUUAAUCCCCCGAGCUCUGGGGAAAAGUUUUUAAAUUGGUGUAAAGGCUUUUUCUGCCCUUCCGAAUGUGUAGAGAAGAAAGAGCUGGGAAGGGUUGCUGAGAUCCCUAACUUCAGGCAGUUAAGAUGCCUCCCAGGAAAGCUGUUGAUUGCUGCCUUGCUUGGUGUGACUCAUCAAAGCGCCCAGAGCAACGGCUCUUCCAAUGAAGCUAGCAGGAUUUUAAUGCAAGAAAAUACUUGAAGAUGCAGGGGCCCACAAACACAAACCAGGAAAUUCAGAUACUUGGAAUUGGAGUUGCUCUCAGGGGCAAACUCAUCUAAUCAAUGGGCUCUUGAAUUGCUUAAAUCAUGUCCAGGACUUUACAUAUUAUUCUAGAUAAAGAAAAAUGAAUAGGCACCUGCCUUGUCCCUCCUUUGCACCAAAUUCAUAUUUUUAGGCAAUUAAUUGUACAAACAAAAUAUCUGCAUCAGCAAUAGAAAUUUCACAGUAGAAACACUGAGGGCUUGCACUAAAAUUCAGUGCUGAAUGAACUGGGUAGCAAAAUAAAACAGAAAGCAAUCCUUUUUCUUUGAGGAGACAACAAAUUAUGGAUGUAAGCAAAAGAUGCUAGACGGCGUCCUCUGACACCCCUAACAUGGAGUGGUAGAGACCACCCUGUCACAGAGAACUGAAGAAAAGCAGGUUGAGAGGCCUGUUAGGAAUUGUAACACUUGGGUGCCCCUCCCUCGUUGACAUCCUUGGUGACAGGCUGAGGCCCCAGUGAGGCACAAACUAGUCAUCCAAGCAUAAAACCUUAAAGAGUAAGGUCCUUUUCCCAGAGACACUACACACAUUGAUAAAAACGUGGCUUCACUAUGACUACCUCCCCCAUUCCACUCUGUCCUCCCCCACAAUUCAAUUCGAUAACAAAAUAUUACUACGUAUCUGAAAUGUCAUUGUUGCCCGCUUCUUUUCCUUUUUAUUUCAUCUGGAUCUGAUGUCCUACUAUUAAAAUUUUGCUUGGGGACCUGUCUUAGUUCAGGCUGUUAUAACAAGAUACCAUAGGUUUGGUGUCUUAAACCGCAGAAAUUUUUUUCUCACUGUCCUGGGGGCUGGGAAGUUCAGGAUCGGGGUACCAGCAGAUUUGGUGUCUGGUGAGGGCACUCUUACUAGCUUGCAGAUGUCAAUCUUCUCAUUGUAUCCUCAUAAAGCAGAAAGCAAAGAGAGAAGGCAAGCUUCUUCCUGUUUCUUUUUCUAAGGGUACUAAUCCCAUCAUGAGGACUCCACCCUAGUUCUAACCUUUGAAUUGGAGAGUGAGGGGCACAAACAAUCAGAACCUAUAUCAAUUUCUGACAGUAUCCAACUCCUAUUUGUUCAAAGUCAACUGAGCAAUAUUGGACAUGAAUCCGUGGAGAACAAAUUCAACCAUAUAUUUUAUUUUUGUUGUUCAAAGU
Orcinus orca (killer whale) is the source of this 1820-nucleotide long non-coding RNA. RefSeq lists it as uncharacterized. The record is from RefSeq and is a predicted model, not a curated record. The transcript is spliced from 3 exons. NCBI's taxonomy places the organism in Eukaryota, Metazoa, Chordata, Mammalia, Artiodactyla, Delphinidae.